Cervus elaphus (red deer) is the source of this 73-nucleotide non-coding RNA. Lineage: Eukaryota; Metazoa; Chordata; Mammalia; Artiodactyla; Cervidae. The record is from the annotation of a RefSeq genome assembly.
UCCUUGGUGGUCCAGUGGUUAAGACUCUGCACUUCGAAUGCAGAGAGCUUAGGUUCAAUCCCUGGUUGGGGAA